GCUUGCUCCUUGGAUCAGUGGCGAACGGGUGAGUAACACGUGAGUAACCUGCCCCAAACUCUGGGAUAAGCACUGGAAACGGUGUCUAAUACCGGAUACGAGCUUCAGCCGCAUGGCUAGGAGUUGGAAAGAAUUUCGGUUUGGGAUGGACUCGCGGCCUAUCAGCUAGUUGGUGAGGUAAUGGCUCACCAAGGCGACGACGGGUAGCCGGCCUGAGAGGGUGACCGGCCACACUGGGACUGAGACACGGCCCAGACUCCUACGGGAGGCAGCAGUGGGGAAUAUUGCACAAUGGGCGCAAGCCUGAUGCAGCAACGCCGCGUGAGGGACGACGGCCUUCGGGUUGUAAACCUCUUUUAGUAGGGAAGAAGCGAAAGUGACGGUACCUGCAGAAAAAGCACCGGCUAACUACGUGCCAGCAGCCGCGGUAAUACGUAGGGUGCAAGCGUUGUCCGGAAUUAUUGGGCGUAAAGAGCUCGUAGGCGGUUUGUCGCGUCUGCUGUGAAAACCCGAGGCUCAACCUCGGGCCUGCAGUGGGUACGGGCAGACUAGAGUGCGGUAGGGGAGAUUGGAAUUCCUGGUGUAGCGGUGGAAUGCGCAGAUAUCAGGAGGAACACCAAUGGCGAAGGCAGAUCUCUGGGCCGUAACUGACGCUGAGGAGCGAAAGCAUGGGGAGCGAACAGGAUUAGAUACCCUGGUAGUCCAUGCCGUAAACGUUGGGAACUAGAUGUGGGGACCAUUCCACGGUCUCCGUGUCGCAGCUAACGCAUU
Molecule: ribosomal RNA, 771 nt
Filed under: Cryobacterium arcticum
Lineage: Bacteria; Bacillati; Actinomycetota; Actinomycetes; Micrococcales; Microbacteriaceae
Description: bacterial SSU rRNA
Rfam family: Bacterial small subunit ribosomal RNA
Source: RNAcentral